AGUACACUGCAGGUCAGCAGAUAACGGCUCUUUGCUGCAGGGAGGGCUGUUAACGGCAGCUAAACCCGACGAAGCGGGCACAGGAGGAAAGGGGCAGCGGGGGCAAUGGACGACCAUCCAGAGCAGUUUCACCUGGCUUGUGAUGAAACAUGGCAUCAGGUGUCCAUUAUGGAUCCUCAGAAUGAGCAGAAAGAUCAUCCAAGCAUUUCUGUAAUAAUCCUUAGAACAAAAUAAAAAUGCAA
Molecule: long non-coding RNA, 242 nt
Organism: Pseudophryne corroboree (corroboree frog)
Lineage: Eukaryota; Metazoa; Chordata; Amphibia; Anura; Myobatrachidae
Exons: 3
Source: RefSeq, a predicted model, not a curated record